ACCACCCUAACACCACCCUAACACCACCCUAACACCACCUUCAUCUCCACUAUAGGUCAGUCAACACCACCCUAACACCACCCUAACACCACCUUCAUCUCCACUAUAGGUCGAGUCAACACCACCCUAACACCACCCUAACACCACCUUCAUCUCCACUAUAGGUCAGUUAACACCACCCUAACACCACCUUCAUCUCCACUAUAGGUCAGUCAACACCACCCUAACACCACCCUAACACCACCUUCAUCUCCACUAUAGGUCAGUUAACACCACCCUAACACCACCUUCAUCUCCACUAUAGGUCAGUUAACACCACCCUAACACCACC
Long non-coding RNA from Sebastes umbrosus (honeycomb rockfish), 331 nucleotides. RefSeq lists it as uncharacterized. The transcript has 3 exons. The record is from RefSeq and is a predicted model, not a curated record. NCBI's taxonomy places the organism in Eukaryota, Metazoa, Chordata, Actinopteri, Perciformes, Sebastidae.